GCCAGUGUGGGAUAGUGGUUUAAGCGUUGGAUUGUGACUCUAGAGACUAAGGUCCAAAUCCUUGCUCGGUCA
Molecule: non-coding RNA, 72 nt
Organism: Phrynosoma platyrhinos (Desert horned lizard)
Lineage: Eukaryota; Metazoa; Chordata; Lepidosauria; Squamata; Phrynosomatidae
Source: the annotation of a GenBank genome assembly